Ictidomys tridecemlineatus (thirteen-lined ground squirrel) is the source of this 754-nucleotide non-coding RNA. NCBI's taxonomy places the organism in Eukaryota, Metazoa, Chordata, Mammalia, Rodentia, Sciuridae. The record is from RefSeq and is a predicted model, not a curated record.
UUCAUUCAGAAGGUCAGAGGCAAUGCAGACCCCGGGUGGAGUAAACUGGAUUCCCCAGGAGAACGAUGCUGAGCCAGUGACCAUGGCAUUGGCCUCAGCAAAGGGCUGGUAGUGCUGUUUGGGGCGUGAAAGGUGCUCCAAGCAGAGCAUGCUCUGAGGACCUCGGCCUGGGUCUGCCCUCCCUGGAUGCCAGCCCUCCGCCAGUGCCCUUCCAGAUCCUCAGUCUGACCAUCCUCACACCUAGCUGCUGAUGAAGCUUCUCCACCUGCAGCUCAGAGGGAACCACAGGAGGCCCGGAGGAGGGGCCCUGCCCCAGCUAGAGCCAGGCAGUAACGCCAGGCCACGGGAUAAAAACAGAGCUGCCAGUGGCUGCUUGAAAAGCGAAUCCCAGACCCGCAGGAGCUCAGCUUCAACUGGUCGGGGCCAUCGCAAGACCGUGAGUCCUUCAGCUAUUGCCGAACCCCCAGCCCCAGCACCGUCCCCCUGCUGCCCGGCUUGCUCUGACAAAUGCUCUCAUCAGUGGGUUUCCCAGCCCAACAGCUAGGUGCCCUGGUGAUCUCAGGUGACAGAAAGUCAUACGUCAUCAGCCCACGGUGUGGUCUGGGCUGCCAGGAGGUGACAGCUUCCUCUACCACACAUUUCUGCCAUGGUCUUCUGCCUCACCACAAGCCCACAGGCACCAGGGUCAAGUGAUGUUGGACUGAAAUCCCUUAAACUAUGAGCCAAAAUAAAUUAAAUUUUCCCUCAAUUUUAA